UACGUAGGGUGCGAGCGUUAAUCGGAAUUACUGGGCGUAAAGCGUGCGCAGGCGGUUCGUUGUGUCGGUGGUGAAAUCCCCGGGCUUAACCUGGGAAUGGCCAUGGAAACUGGCGAACUGGAGUGCGGCAGAGGGGGGUGGAAUUCCGCGUGUAGCAGUGAAAUGCAUAGAGAUGCGGAGGAACACCGAUGGCGAAGGCAGCCCCCUGGGCUAGCACUGACGCUCAGGCACGAAAGCGUGGGGAGCAAACAGG
Molecule: ribosomal RNA, 253 nt
Filed under: uncultured bacterium
Lineage: Bacteria
Description: partial 16S ribosomal RNA
Rfam family: Bacterial small subunit ribosomal RNA
Source: RNAcentral